This is a long non-coding RNA of Mauremys reevesii (Reeves's turtle), 277 nucleotides long. RefSeq lists it as uncharacterized. The record is from RefSeq and is a predicted model, not a curated record. The transcript is spliced from 3 exons. NCBI's taxonomy places the organism in Eukaryota, Metazoa, Chordata, Testudines, Geoemydidae.
CAGAAACUGGCUGACUUGUAUUCUAUGAGUCAGAGGAGAAGCCAUGUGCUGCUGGAGGGGGAUGCUAGACUCCUUAGGAGACUCUUGAGCAUACUUUAGGAUUUGAUCAGAGUGGUGAAGAAACUGAGACAAUUGUCAGCCAUGCCUACUCUCUGCUGCUGCUCUUGACCUGCUUGCUGUUCCUUCCUUCCUCCCUCAGCAUGACACUGGGAAUCUACUGAUACAUGGAGGAAGUGCAUCUGGAAUUUGAACGAUUCAUUGAACUUUUGGAAUAUGC